Molecule: ribosomal RNA, 456 nt
Filed under: Nesterenkonia sandarakina
Lineage: Bacteria; Bacillati; Actinomycetota; Actinomycetes; Micrococcales; Micrococcaceae
Description: bacterial SSU rRNA
Rfam family: Bacterial small subunit ribosomal RNA
Source: RNAcentral
CUGGCUCAGGAUGAACGCUGGCGGCGUGCUUAACACAUGCAAGUCGAACGAUGAAGACCGUGCUUGCACGGUUGGAUUAGUGGCGAACGGGUGAGUAUCACGUGAGUAACCUUCCCUUAACUCUGGGAUAAGCCCGGGAAACUGGGUCUAAUACCGGAUACGACCAGUCCUCGCAUGGGGUGCUGGUGGAAAGAUUUAUCGGUUUUGGAUGGACUCGCGGCCUAUCAGCUUGUUGGUGAGGUAAUGGCUCACCAAGGCGAUGACGGGUAGCCGGCCUGAGAGGGUGACCGGCCACACUGGGACUGAGACACGGCCCAGACUCCUACGGGAGGCAGCAGUGGGGAAUAUUGCACAAUGGGCGAAAGCCUGAUGCAGCGACGCCGCGUGCGGGAUGACGGCCUUCGGGUUGUAAACCGCUUUCAGCAGGGAAGAAGCGAAAGUGACGGACCUCAAAGA